RNAcentral lists this unclassified non-coding RNA (214 nucleotides) under Didymella glomerata. Its description in RNAcentral is "partial internal transcribed spacer region". The stretch from base 1 to 46 matches the Rfam family "Eukaryotic small subunit ribosomal RNA", at positions 1786 to 1831 of the family's 1831-position model. The record is from RNAcentral. RNAcentral also lists the same sequence under 1 other name. Lineage: Eukaryota; Fungi; Ascomycota; Dothideomycetes; Pleosporales; Didymellaceae.
AAGUCGUAACAAGGUUUCCGUAGGUGAACCUGCGGAAGGAUCAUUACCUAGAGUUGUAGGCUUUGCCUGCUAUCUCUUACCCAUGUCUUUUAAGUACCUUCGUUUCCUCGGCGGGUUCGCCCGCCGAUUGGACAAUUUAAACCAUUUGCAGUUGCAAUCAGCGUCUGAAAAAACUUAAUAGUUACAACUUUCAACAACGGAUCUCUUGGUUCUG